RNAcentral lists this non-coding RNA (46 nucleotides) under Trichobilharzia regenti. The record is from RNAcentral. Lineage: Eukaryota; Metazoa; Platyhelminthes; Trematoda; Strigeidida; Schistosomatidae.
GUACUGCUGAGGAGUCCCACUCUAGGACGAAACAGCUGUCCAGUAC